This 253-nucleotide ribosomal RNA is filed under the name uncultured bacterium. Its description in RNAcentral is "partial 16S ribosomal RNA". It matches the Rfam family "Bacterial small subunit ribosomal RNA", at positions 524 to 776 of the family's 1533-position model. The record is from RNAcentral.
UACGUAGGGUGCAAGCGUUGUCCGGAAUUAUUGGGCGUAAAGAGCUCGUAGGCGGUCUGUCGCGUCAGCUGUGAAAACCUGGGGCUCAACCCCGGGCCUGCAGCCGAUACGGGCAGACUAGAAUUCGGUAGGGGAGACUGGAAUUCCUGGUGUAGCGGUGAAAUGCGCAGAUAUCAGGAGGAACACCGGUGGCGAAGGCGGGUCUCUGGGCCGAUAUUGACGCUGAGGAGCGAAAGCGUGGGGAGCAAACAGG